Small nuclear RNA from Otolemur garnettii (small-eared galago), 100 nucleotides. The record is from Ensembl. NCBI's taxonomy places the organism in Eukaryota, Metazoa, Chordata, Mammalia, Primates, Galagidae.
AUGCUUCCUUUGGUAGCAUAAAUACUGAAAAAGGAAGAAUACAGAGAAGGUUAGUGUGUUCCCUGUGCAAGAAAAAAAAAAAGAAGAAUACUGAUAUUCU